UACGUAGGGUGCAAGCGUUAAUCUGAAUUACUGGGCGUAAAGCGUGCGCAGGCGGUUUUGUCAGUUUGUCGUGAAAGCCCCGGGCUCAACCUGGGAAUUGCGAUGAAGACUGCAAGGCUUGAAUCUGGCAGAGGGGGGUAGAAUUCCACGUGUAGCAGUGAAAUGCGUAGAGAUGUGGAGGAACACCGAUGGCGAAGGCAGCCCCCUGGGUCAAGAUUGACGCUCAUGCACGAAAGCGUGGGGAGCGAACAGG
This 253-nucleotide ribosomal RNA is filed under the name uncultured bacterium. Its description in RNAcentral is "partial 16S ribosomal RNA". It matches the Rfam family "Bacterial small subunit ribosomal RNA", at positions 524 to 776 of the family's 1533-position model. The record is from RNAcentral.